Molecule: ribosomal RNA, 655 nt
Filed under: uncultured bacterium
Lineage: Bacteria
Description: bacterial SSU rRNA
Rfam family: Bacterial small subunit ribosomal RNA
Source: RNAcentral
UCGCGGCCUAUCAGCUUGUUGGCGAGGUAACGGCUCACCAAGGCAACGACGGGUAGCUGGUCUGAGAGGAUGGCCAGCCACAUUGGGACUGAGAUACGGCCCAGACUCCUACGGGAGGCAGCAGUGGGGAAUCUUGCGCAAUGGCCUAACGGCUGACGCAGCGACGCCGCGUGUGGGAUGAAGCUCCUCGGAGUGUAAACCACUGUUGCCCGGGACGAAUAGCUCGAUUAAUCGAGCCUGACGGUACCGGGUGAGGAAGCACCGGCUAACUCCGUGCCAGCAGCCGCGGUAAUACGGGGGGUGCGAGCGUUGUCCGGAAUCACUGGGCGUAAAGGGCGCGUAGGUGGUUUGAUAAGGGUGUGGUGAAAGUCCGGGGCUCAACCCCGGAUCUGCCGUGCCGACUGUCAAACUCGAGGACUGUAGAGGCAGACGGAAUUCCGGGUGUAGCGGUGGAAUGCGUAGAGAUCCGGAGGAAGACCGGUGGCGAAGGCGGUCUGCUGGGCAGUUUCUGACACUGAGGCGCGACAGCGUGGGGAGCAAACAGGAUUAGAUACCCUGGUAGUCCACGCCGUAAACGAUGGGUACUAGGUGCCUGGGGGAGCGACCCUCUGGGUGCCGGCGCUAACGCAGGAAGUACCCCGCCUGGGGAGUACGG